AAUCAACGCUGGCGGCGUGCCUAACACAUGCAAGUCGAACGCGAAAGCCCCGCAAGGGGUCAGUAGAGUGGCAAACGGGUGAGUAACACGUGGGUGACCUGCCUUCGAGUGGGGGAUAACGUCCCGAAAGGGACGCUAAUACCGCAUGACAUCCUGCUUUUGAAAAAGCGGAGAUCAAAGCUGGGGAUCGCAAGACCUAGCGCUUGAAGAGGGGCCCGCGCCUGAUUAGCUAGUUGGUGAGGUAACGGCUCACCAAGGCGACGAUCAGUAUCCGGCCUGAGAGGGCGGACGGACACACUGGGACUGGGACACGGCCCAGACUCCUACGGGAGGCAGCAGUGGGGAAUUGUUCGCAAUGGGCGCAAGCCUGACGACGCAACGCCGCGUGGAGGACGAAGAUCUUCGGGUCGUAAACUCCUGUCGAGCGGGACGAACGCUUCGCGGAUGAAUAAUCCGCGGAAUUGACGGUACCGCUAAAGGAAGCCCCGGCUAACUCCGUG
This 500-nucleotide ribosomal RNA is filed under the name uncultured bacterium. RNAcentral's name for it is "partial 16S ribosomal RNA". It matches the Rfam family "Bacterial small subunit ribosomal RNA", at positions 32 to 507 of the family's 1533-position model. The record is from RNAcentral.